RNAcentral lists this ribosomal RNA (1200 nucleotides) under uncultured fungus. RNAcentral's name for it is "eukaryotic LSU rRNA". The stretch from base 567 to 1200 matches the Rfam family "Eukaryotic large subunit ribosomal RNA", at positions 1 to 649 of the family's 3401-position model. The record is from RNAcentral. Lineage: Eukaryota; Fungi.
AAGUCGUAACAAGGCUUCCGUAGGUGAACCUGCGGAAGGAUCAUUAAACUAUGUGGUACCCGUAAGGGCAUAUCCACGUCGGGUCUCGUCUUUUCGUCGCAGAAAUGCCGCGAACUGAUGGGGCUGUCUGAAAACCCUUGAAUAUAAAACUUUGUUGCUUUGGUGGGCCGCCUCUUCUGGCGUCGGCCCCGGCUGACAGCGCCCGCCAGAGGCCAAAAACUCUACUGUCAUUGACGUCUGAGCACUAUAUAUAAUAGUUAAAACUUUCAACAACGGAUCUCUUGGUUCUGGCAUCGAUGAAGAACGCAGCGAAAUGCGAUAAGUAAUGUGAAUUGCAGAAUUCAGUGAAUCAUCGAAUCUUUGAACGCACAUUGCGCCCCUUGNUAUUCCGGGGGGCAUGCCUGUUCGAGCGUCAUUAUGACCAAUCCCGCAAGGGGNCUUGGGGGUCCGCGGUUCGCUGCGACCCUUAAAAUUAGUGGCGGCGNCGCCNGGGCUCUCAGCGUAGUAAUACUCCUCGCUCGGGAACCACUGUGGAUGCUUGCCAGCAACUCUUGAUUUUCAAAGGUUGACCUCGGAUCAGGUAGGGAUACCCGCUGAACUUAAGCAUAUCAAUAAGCGGAGGAAAAGAAACCAACAGGGAUUACCUCAGUAACGGCGAGUGAAGCGGUAACAGCUCAAAUUUGAAAUCUGGCUCCUGCGGGGCCCGAGUUGUAAUUUGUAGAAGAUGCUUUGGGCGUGGCUCCGGUCUAAGUUCCUUGGANCAGGACGUCAUAGAGGGUGAGAAUCCCGUACGUGACUGGGUGCCUUCGUCCGUGUAAAGCUCUUUCGACGAGUCGAGUUGUUUGGGAAUGCAGCUCAAAAUGGGUGGUAAAUUUCAUCUAAAGCUAAAUAUUGGCCAGAGACCGAUAGCGCACAAGUAGAGUGAUCGAAAGAUGAAAAGCACUUUGGAAAGAGAGUUAAACAGUACGUGAAAUUGUUGAAAGGGAAGCGCUUGCAAUCAGACUUGCGUGUGGUUGAUCAUCCGAGCUUCUGCCCGGUGCACUCGAUCAUACUCAGGCCAGCAUCGGUUUGGGCGGUUGGAUAAAGGCCUUGGGAAUGUGGCUCCUCUCGGGGAGUGUUAUAGCCCUCGGUGCAAUGCAGCCUGUCCGGACCGAGGACCGCGCUUCGGCUAGGAUGCUGGCGUAAUGGUUGUAAGCGACC